CAGCCGCCGCGGUAAUACGAAGGGACCUAGCGUAGUUCGGAAUUACUGGGCUUAAAGAGUUCGUAGGUGGUUGAAAAAGUUAGUGGUGAAAUCCCAGAGCUUAACUCUGGAACUGCCAUUAAAACUUUUCAGCUAGAGUAUGAUAGAGGAAAGCAGAAUUUCUAGUGUAGAGGUGAAAUUCGUAGAUAUUAGAAAGAAUACCAAUUGCGAAGGCAGCUUUCUGGAUCAUUACUGACACUGAGGAACGAAAGCAUGGGUAGCGAAGAGGAUUAGAUACCCUCGUAGUCCAUGCCGUAAACGAUGUGUGUUAGACGUUGGAAAUUUAUUUUCAGUGUCGCAGGGAAACUGAUAAACACACCGCCUGGGGAGUACGACCGCAAGGUUAAAACUCAAAUGAAUUGACGGGGACCCGCACAAGUAGUGGAGCAUGUGGUUUAAUUCGAAGAUACGCGCAGAACCUUACCAACACUUGACAUGUUCGUCGCGACUCUAAGAGAUUAGAGUUUUCGGUUCGGCCGGACGAAACACAGGUGCUGCAUGGCUGUCGUCAGCUCGUGUCGUGAGAUGUUGGGUUAAGUCCCGCAACGAGCGCAACCCUCACUUUUAGUUGCCAUCAUUAAGUUGGGCACUCUGAAAGAACUGCCAGUGAUAAGCUGGAGGAAGGUGGGGAUGACGUCAAGUCCUCAUGGCCCUUACGUGUUGGGCUACACACGUGCUACAAUGGUAUCUACAACAGGAAGCAAGACUGCGAAGUUAAGCAAAUCCCUAAAAGAUACCUCAGUUCGGAUUGCACUCCGCAACUCGAGUGCAUGAAGCUGGAAUUACUAGUAAUCGUGGAUCAGCGUGCCACGGUGAAUGCGUUCCCGGGUCUUGCACACACCGCCCG
Molecule: ribosomal RNA, 886 nt
Filed under: uncultured bacterium
Lineage: Bacteria
Description: bacterial SSU rRNA
Rfam family: Bacterial small subunit ribosomal RNA
Source: RNAcentral